GCUGGGGUAGCUCAUUUGGCAGAAAAUGAGACUCUUAAUCUUAGGAUUGUGGGUUCAAGCCCCACGUUGGGCA
Podarcis lilfordi (Lilford's wall lizard) is the source of this 73-nucleotide non-coding RNA. Lineage: Eukaryota; Metazoa; Chordata; Lepidosauria; Squamata; Lacertidae. The record is from the annotation of a GenBank genome assembly.